AUUGAACGCUGGCGGCAGGCCUAACACAUGCAAGUCGAGUGGAUGAAGGGAGCUUGCUCCUGGAUUCAGCGGCGGACGGGUGAGUAAUGCCUAGGAAUCUGCCUGGUAGUGGGGGAUAACGUCCGGAAACGGGCGCUAAUACCGCAUACGUCCUGAGGGAGAAAGUGGGGGAUCUUCGGACCUCACGCUAUCAGAUGAGCCUAGGUCGGAUUAGCUGGUUGGUGGGGUAAAGGCCUACCAAGGCGACGAUCCGUAACUGGUCUGAGAGGAUGAUCAGUCACACUGGAACUGAGACACGGUCCAGACUCCUACGGGAGGCAGCAGUGGGGAAUAUUGGACAAUGGGCGAAAGCCUGAUCCAGCCAUGCCGCGUGUGUGAAGAAGGUCUUCGGAUUGUAAAGCACUUUAAGUUGGGAGGAAGGGCAGUAAGUUAAUACCUUGCUGUUUUGACGUUACCAACAGAAUAAGCACCGGCUAACUUCGUG
RNAcentral lists this ribosomal RNA (484 nucleotides) under uncultured bacterium. RNAcentral's name for it is "partial 16S ribosomal RNA". It matches the Rfam family "Bacterial small subunit ribosomal RNA", at positions 30 to 507 of the family's 1533-position model. The record is from RNAcentral.